Non-coding RNA from Pogona vitticeps (central bearded dragon), 389 nucleotides. NCBI's taxonomy places the organism in Eukaryota, Metazoa, Chordata, Lepidosauria, Squamata, Agamidae. The record is from RefSeq and is a predicted model, not a curated record.
AGCUGGCAGAUUUUCGUUUCUGGCUUUCCUUUAGGUAGGCUGAAGGAAGAAGGCCUUUCAUUGCUACCUUUUGGCAGCCCUGUCGUUAUUUGGCUCCUUACGUGCGCAGGGAAAUCGUGUGAAGGCAAGGUUCCCAACCCAGAUCCAACGCAGGGAUCCUUCGUCCCGAGCCGGGAGUCUGCCAACGCGCGGAGGAAGACCAUCCAAGUCGAGGCUUGCCCCUGCUCGUUCACCCGCCGUCCCUCCCCUCAGCCGGAUGCCGGGAACAAGAGAAAGGGAGCGAUUGGGAGAUUCCGUUUUAAUACAUUGACUUCAGCCUAGCAUCGCCCCGUGUUGGUGCAGGAGACCCCGUCUGAACCCUAGGAAUUAAUCGGAACGCCUCCUCCCGU